Molecule: ribosomal RNA, 253 nt
Filed under: uncultured bacterium
Lineage: Bacteria
Description: partial 16S ribosomal RNA
Rfam family: Bacterial small subunit ribosomal RNA
Source: RNAcentral
UACGUAGGGUCCGAGCGUUGUCCGGAAUUACUGGGCGUAAAGAGCUCGUAGGUGGUUUGUCGCGUUGUUCGUGAAAACUCACAGCUUAACUGUGGGCGUGCGGGCGAUACGGGCAGACUUGAGUACUGCAGGGGAGACUGGAAUUCCUGGUGUAGCGGUGAAAUGCGCAGAUAUCAGGAGGAACACCGGUGGCGAAGGCGGAUCUCUGGGCCAUUACUGACGCUGAGGAGCGAAAGCGUGGGGAGCGAACAGG